UACAGAGGUCCCAAGCGUUGUUCGGAUUCACUGGGCGUAAAGGGUGCGCAGGUGGCUGGGUAAGUUUGAUGUGAAAGCCCCGGGCUUAACCCGGGAAUGGCAUUGAAUACUAUUCGGCUGGAGGAUUGGAGGGGGGACUGGAAUUCUUGGUGUAGCAGUGAAAUGCGUAGAUAUCGGGAGGAACACCAGUGGCGAAGGCGACUUCCUGGCCUGUUCUUGACGCUGAGGCGCGAAAGCUAGGGGAGCAAACGGG
This 253-nucleotide ribosomal RNA is filed under the name uncultured bacterium. RNAcentral's name for it is "partial 16S ribosomal RNA". It matches the Rfam family "Bacterial small subunit ribosomal RNA", at positions 524 to 776 of the family's 1533-position model. The record is from RNAcentral.